GAUAACAUUAACAGCUGACCCGCCAAUAUUCCAAGCCGAGACUGAGUCAGAUCUGGCUCUAGAGUCAGGUCUCGCUUCAGAGAGAACGUCAACGAGCGUCUCACGGAAUUUCCGUUCUCGACGGUGGAAGAAGGAUAACGGGCACAGCUGCACGUCUAUGAACCCAACACAUUUUAUUUUUUUGUGGGUUGACAUGGUAUCAGCGCUUUUCUAAGAAAAGCUUCCGCAAUUUUGCAACGUAUUUUUCUCAUUCUUGAUGUUGAUGGUGUUUCUGCAAGUUUAAUGAAAAAGAACGGAUCUUUUUUUAUGAUAUUUGGUGUUUGUGAUGUUUUAUGGCCUCAUGUGAUUUCUGUGGUGAUUGCCGCCGUUGUUAGCGCCGGAAAUUGUGAUCAUCGCAAGGUAGAAGACGACUGCUGUUUGCCGAAUAUCCGUAAGAGGCUGUCCCUGCUCUAAUCCAAGACUAGUUAAACAUACUUGCCAUGCUGACCCGCCAAUAUUCCAAGCCGAGACUGAGUCAGAUCUGGCUCUAGAGUCAGGUCUCGCUUCAGAGAGAACGUCAACGAGCGUCUCACGGAAUUUCCGUUCUCGACGGUGGAAGAAGGAUAACGGGCACAGCUGCACGUCUAUGAACCCAACACAUUUUUUAUUUUUUUGUGGGUUGACAAGCGCCAGAAAUUGUGAUCGGGAGCAUCGCAAGGUAGAAGACGACUGCUUGCAGAAUAUCCCGCCGGAAAUUGUCAUCAUCGCAAGGUAGAAGACGACUGCUGUUUGCGGAAUAUCCAUAAGACUAGUUAAACAUACUCUGGCCCAUUUGCGGAACUUGAUAAGCUUCUUGAGCGGUUGCGUGUCCCUUCCGAGUAUGCAGCAAGGUUGACAGGAGGUUCAUCCGAUUCGAUUGGAAUUUAAGUUGUAUCUAUUUCUUCCUCUUACAUAUUUUCU
This is a long non-coding RNA of Juglans regia (Persian walnut), 939 nucleotides long. RefSeq lists it as uncharacterized. The transcript is spliced from 4 exons. The record is from RefSeq and is a predicted model, not a curated record. Lineage: Eukaryota; Viridiplantae; Streptophyta; Magnoliopsida; Fagales; Juglandaceae.